This 406-nucleotide ribosomal RNA is filed under the name uncultured bacterium. Its description in RNAcentral is "bacterial SSU rRNA". It matches the Rfam family "Bacterial small subunit ribosomal RNA", at positions 354 to 777 of the family's 1533-position model. The record is from RNAcentral.
GUGGGGAAUAUUGCACAAUGGGGGAAACCCUGAUGCAGCGACGCCGCGUGAAGGAAGAAGUAUCUCGGUAUGUAAACUUCUAUCAGCAGGGAAGAUAGUGACGGUACCUGACUAAGAAGCCCCGGCUAACUACGUGCCAGCAGCCGCGGUAAUACGUAGGGGGCAAGCGUUAUCCGGAUUUACUGGGUGUAAAGGGAGCGUAGACGGUGUGGCAAGUCUGAUGUGAAAGGCAUGGGCUCAACCUGUGGACUGCAUUGGAAACUGUCAUACUUGAGUGCCGGAGGGGUAAGCGGAAUUCCUAGUGUAGCGGUGAAAUGCGUAGAUAUUAGGAGGAACACCAGUGGCGAAGGCGGCUUACUGGACGGUAACUGACGUUGAGGCUCGAAAGCGUGGGGAGCAAACAGGA